ACGAACGCUGGCGGCGUGCUUAACACAUGCAAGUCGAACGAUGAACCUGGAGCUUGCUCCGGGGAAUUAGUGGCGAACGGGUGAGUAACACGUGAGUAACCUGCCCUUGACUCUGGGAUAACCUCCGGAAACGGAAGCUAAUACCGGAUACGACGUACGGAGGCAUCUCCUGUACGUGGAAAGAACUUCGGUCAAGGAUGGACUCGCGGCCUAUCAGGUAGUUGGUGAGGUAACGGCCCACCAAGCCUACGACGGGUAGCCGGCCUGAGAGGGUGACCGGCCACACUGGGACUGAGACACGGCCCAGACUCCUACGGGAGGCAGCAGUGGGGAAUAUUGCACAAUGGGCGCAAGCCUGAUGCAGCAACGCCNCGUGAGGGAUGACGGCCUUCGGGUUGUAAACCUCUUUUAGUAGGGAAGAAGCGAAAGU
Molecule: ribosomal RNA, 430 nt
Filed under: bacterium Ellin5048
Lineage: Bacteria; Bacillati; Actinomycetota; Actinomycetes; Micrococcales; Microbacteriaceae
Description: bacterial SSU rRNA
Rfam family: Bacterial small subunit ribosomal RNA
Source: RNAcentral